Molecule: long non-coding RNA, 3599 nt
Organism: Panthera uncia (snow leopard)
Lineage: Eukaryota; Metazoa; Chordata; Mammalia; Carnivora; Felidae
Exons: 2
Source: RefSeq, a predicted model, not a curated record
AUAUGCAAGGUAUGAUCUCGAUUUUUUUUUACUUUUUGAGGGCUGAUUUGUGACCCAGUAUGUGAUCUAUUCUGGAGAAUGUUCCAUGUGCACUCAAGAAGAAUGUGUAUUCUGCUGCUUUAGGAUGAAAUGUUCUGACUAUAUCUGUUAAGUCCAUCUGUCCAGUGUAUCAUUCAAAGCCAUUGUUUCCUUGUCGAUUUUCUGCUUAGAUGAUCUUGUCCAUUGCUCUAAGUGGGGAGUUGAAGUCCCCUACUAUGAUGGUACUGUUAUCAAUGAGUUUCUUGUUUGUGAUUAAUUGAUUUAUAUAUUUGGGUGCUUCCAUGUUGGCAUAAAUAUUUACAAUUGUUAGAUCUUGUUGGAUGACCCCUUAAUUACGAUAUAAUGUCCUUCCUCAUUUCUUGUUACAGUCUUCAUUUUAAAAUCUAGUUUGUCUGAUAUAAGUAUGGCUACUCUAGCUUUCUUUUGAAUGAUGAUUUCCAUCCCCUUACUUUCAAUCUGCAGGUGCCUUUAGGUCUAAAAUGAGUCUCUUGCAAGCAGCAUAUAGGUCUUGUUUUCUUAUCUGUUCUGAUACCCUAUGUCUUUUAAUUGGAGUAUUUAGUCCAUUGACACUUAGAGUGAGUACUGAGACAUGAAUUUAGCACAAUUGUGUUGCCUUUUGAGUUGGUGUUUUCGGAGGUGUUCUCUGGUUCUUUCUAGACUUUGUUGCUUUUGGUCUGUUUUGUUUUGUUUUGUCUUUUCUCCAGUCAAAAUAUCCCCCUUAAAGUUUCUUGCAGGGCAUUUAGUGGUCACAAACUCCUUUAGUUUGUGUUUGUCUGGGAAACUCUUUAUCUCUCCUUCUAUUUUGAAUGACAGUCUUGCUGGAUAAAGAAUUCUUGACUGCAUAUUUUUCUGAUUCAUCAUGUUGAAUAAAUCCUGCUACUCCUUUCUGGCCUGCCAAGUUUCUGGAUAGGUCUGCUGUGAACAUGAUCUGUAUUCCCUUAUAGGUUAAGGACAUUUUCUCCCUUGCUGCUUUCAUAAUUCUUUCCUUGUCUGUAUAUUUCAUGAAUUUGACUAUGAUUUGUUGUUUUUUUGUCGAAUCUAAUGGGAGUUUUCUGUGCUUCUUGGAUUUUGAUGUCUGUGUCUUUCUCCAGAUUAGAAAGUCUUCCACUAUAAUUUGCUCACAUAAACCUUCUGCCCCUUUUUCUCUCUCUUCAUCUUCUGGGACUCUAUGAUUUAGAUGUUAUUCCUUUUUAAUAAGUCACUGAGUUCUUUAAGUUUUGUAUUGUGACAUUUUGCCUUUGUUUCCCUCUUUUUUUUUCUUUCUUUUUUUUCAAUAUAUGAAGUUUAUUGUCAAAUUGGUUUCCAUACAACACCCAGUGCUCAUCCAAAAAGGUGCCCUCCUCAAUACCCAUCCCUCUUUUUUUUUUCUGCUUCAUUAUUCUCCAUAAUUUUAUCUUCUAAAUCACCAAUUCACUGUUCUGCCUCAUCUAUUCUUGCCUUCGUGGCAUUCACCCGAGAUUGCAUCUUGGUGAUAGCAUUUUUAAUUUCGUCCUGACUAGAUUUUAUUUCUUUAAUCUCCACAGAAAAAUAUUCUAUGCUUUUUUCAACCCCAGCUAGUAUUAUUAUUGUGGUUCUAAAUUCUAGUUCAGACAUCUUGUUUAUAUGUAUGUUGAUUAAGCCCCUGUCUAUCAUUUCCUCCUGUUCUUUCUUUUGGGGUGAAUUCCUUCAUUUUGUCAUUUUGAAGGAAGAAAAAAUUAAUAAAAUUAAAAAUUAAAAUUAAAAAAUUAAAAACAAAACAAAAAAUCAAAUAAAGAAAGCUAGAUCCUAGGUGCAUUUUGGUCUGGUUGUUAAAAGAAACUUGAUAGAAUAGAGAAAAAAGGGAAAGAAAAGAAAAAAAAGUAAGAAAAAAUUUAAAAAUGAAAAAUAUAUAUAAUAAAAUAGAAUAAAAUGAAUAAAGAAAAUGAAAUAGAAUAAAACAUUUAAAAAUAAAGUAAUAAAAAAUAAAAUUUUCUCUUUUCUGUAUCCAAGAAUGGGGAAGAAAAGAAAGAAAGGGAAAAAAAGAAAAAAUAAAACAAUUUAAGCAAAAACAGAAGCAAAGAAAAUGAACAGAUAAAGGAACCAGAAAACAGAAUGAAACCUAAAGAAGUUACAUCCUGUUUUCUCUAGGACUGAAAGUAUGAAGUCUUCUAUAGUCUGUGCACUAAGCAGGUGGAGUGACUUGUGCUGGUCUUCUAGGGAAUGUGCUUGGAGGGCGCAGUUGGUGGGGGGCUUGGUGUAAGGGCUCCAUUAUCCACCAGGUGGCACUGCUUAGCUUACUGGGGUGGGUCAGUGCGAUGUGCAUGCAGCUGUGUGGGAGAGGUGGAAAUGGCUUCAUCCAGCUCCCUAGUCUCUGGCACAGAAACUUUGCACUCUCACCGACCUUUGAUCAAAUAUCUCUUCUUUGUCUCAGGCCUCUGUCCACUCCUCUCCUCCACCCCGUCCGUGUCCAAGCUGUUCACCUGCCAGGUAGCACCUCCCUCCAGAGUUUUAUCUCAGAUGGGGCUGUGUUGCAAAACCCCAUGCUUCUGAGACCACUGUGGCUUGGACCUGUACCAAUUCUCUGGGGGAAGGAUCUUGCUGAGCAAUGGCAGGGUGCCGGCUUGCCCCAGAAGAGUUUCUUGCAAUCAUGCAGUGGCAGAGGUUCAGAAAUUAUGGCAAAUCACAACACACAGCCAGCGCCAGGUUUCACCACACUCUGGAGACUUUGUCCCAGUAGCGGCAAACAUAGUGGCAAACAUCUGCUAAGACCUUUGCCUGUGGGGAGGCCAUAUGCCUCUACCAAAUGCACUCCAAACAGGGCAACCACUUCUCCCUGUGUGGCACAUGGACCCCUCAGACUGCACUGCCUGCUUCUGGGAAUUCAUCCUGUUUCCUCACCAGAGCACCACUAGGCACUGAGCUCCAAAACUUCAGACUCUGUGCUCCACUGUUUAUAAAAUCCUGAUGGUAUUGAAACCCUCUCCUUGCUUCCCACCAAUGGUUUUGGGGAACAGAUUUCUUGUUCAGUCCCCUGCUAGUGUUUUCACUCUUACUCUCUCUUUCUUUCCAGCUACUUUCAGGGGAGUGCUUUUCUUGCACAUCCCAAUGCACCACAAUCUCUCCCUUUCUCUCUUUCUGUCCUCUCUCCACAAAAACAGCUCUCUAUCCUCUGUGGCUUUUCUCUCCCCCAGUUCACCUCUCCACACCAUGUACCUGCUGAGUUCUGUGGCUCAAGUUAUGCAGAUUGUUGUGUUAAUCCUCAGAUUGAUUUCCUAGGUAUUCAAAAUGGUUUGGUGCUGAUCUGGCUGUGUUUCAGAGACAAGACAAACUCAGGGUCUCCAUGCCGCUCCAACAUCUUGACCAUCUUCUAAAGUUUGAUUCUACACGUGAAGUUUGCAUUCUGUGAUAUCACCACAUUGUUACAUGGACUUGGGCCAGUGUUUCUCCAUCUUUGUUGAGCGUUGGAAGGAGAUAGGAAGCUUGUGAAAAAUAUGCUUGGGCCCAACCCCGUGGAUUCCGACUGGGUACGUUUGGGAAGGAGCCUAUUUGUUCUUUGUAUCAAUUUUGCAGAUGAUUCUGAUCCACUAAAAUGCGAGAACCAA